This 253-nucleotide ribosomal RNA is filed under the name uncultured bacterium. RNAcentral describes it as "partial 16S ribosomal RNA". It matches the Rfam family "Bacterial small subunit ribosomal RNA", at positions 524 to 776 of the family's 1533-position model. The record is from RNAcentral.
UACGUAGGGGGCUAGCGUUGUCCGGAAUCAUUGGGCGUAAAGCGCGUGUAGGCGGCCCGAUAAGUCCGCUGUGAAAGUCCAGGGCUCAACCCUGGGAUGCCGGUGGAUACUGUCGGGCUCGAGUCCGGAAGAGGCGAGUGGAAUUCCUGGUGUAGCGGUGAAAUGCGCAGAUAUCAGGAGGAACACCAAUGGCGAAGGCAGCUCGCUGGCCCGGUACUGACGCUGAGGCACGAAAGCGUGGGGAGCAAACAGG